GUGACAGCAGCCGCGGUAAUACGAAGGGGGCUAGCGCUGUUCGGAAUCACUGGGCGUAAAGCGCGCGUAGGCGGCUUUGUAAGUUAGAGGUGAAAGCCCGGGGCUCAACUCCGGAACAGCCUUUAAGACUGCAUCGCUAGAAUCCGGGAGAGGUGAGUGGAAUUCCGAGUGUAGAGGUGAAAUUCGUAGAUAUUCGGAAGAACACCAGUGGCGAAGGCGGCUCACUGGACCGGUAUUGACGCUGAGGUGCGAAAGCGUUGGGAGCAAACAGGAUUAGAUACCCUCGUAGUCC
Molecule: ribosomal RNA, 292 nt
Filed under: uncultured bacterium
Lineage: Bacteria
Description: partial 16S ribosomal RNA
Rfam family: Bacterial small subunit ribosomal RNA
Source: RNAcentral